GGUGAACGCUGGCGGUAGGCCUAACACAUGCAAGUCGAACGGCAGCACAGGAGAGCUUGCUCUCUGGGUGGCGAGUGGCGGACGGGUGAGGAAUACAUCGGAAUCUACUUUUUCGUGGGGGAUAACGUAGGGAAACUUACGCUAAUACCGCAUACGACCUACGGGUGAAAGCAGGGGACCUUCGGGCCUUGCGCGAUUGAAUGAGCCGAUGUCGGAUUAGCUAGUUGGCGGGGUAAAGGCCCACCAAGGCGCCGAUCCGUAGCUGGUCUGAGAGAAUGAUCAGCCACACUGGGAGUGAGACACGGCCCCGACUAAUACGGGAGGCAGCAGUGGGGAAUAUUGGACAAUGGGCGCAAGCCUGUUCCAGCCAUACCGCGUGGGUGAACAAGGCCUUCGGGUUGUAAAGCCCUUUUGUUGGGAAAGAGAUCCAGCUGGCUAAUACCCGGUUGGGAUGACGGUACCCAAAGAAUAAGCACCGGCUAACUUCGUGCCAGCCGCCGCGGUAA
Molecule: ribosomal RNA, 506 nt
Filed under: uncultured bacterium
Lineage: Bacteria
Description: partial 16S ribosomal RNA
Rfam family: Bacterial small subunit ribosomal RNA
Source: RNAcentral